GAAUGCGAUAAGUAGUGUGAAUUGCAGAAUUCAGUGAAUCAUCGAAUCUUUGAACGCACAUUGCGCCCCUUGGUAUUCCAUGGGGCAUGCCUGUUCGAGCGUCAUUUGUACCCUCAAGCUCUGCUUGGUGUUGGGUGUUUGUCCCCGUCUCCGCGCGUGGACUCGCCCCAAAGUGAUUGGCAGCCGGCGUACUGGUCCCGGAGCGCAGCACAUGUCGCGCAAACGAGUGCCUUGGUACGGCGGCGUCCAUAAGCCCCUCUCUCACGCUCUUGACCUCGGAUCAGGUAGGGAUACCCGCUGAACUUAAGC
This 309-nucleotide unclassified non-coding RNA is filed under the name plant metagenome. Its description in RNAcentral is "partial contains 5.8S ribosomal RNA, internal transcribed spacer 2, and large subunit ribosomal RNA". The stretch from base 1 to 104 matches the Rfam family "5.8S ribosomal RNA", at positions 51 to 154 of the family's 154-position model. The record is from RNAcentral.